GUGAAUUGGACUACCAUCACAAAAAAUAAUACUACACUGAAAACUGGUGAUAUUGUUUCAGUUAGUGGAAAAGGAAGACUUAAGAUAGGAGAAAUAAAUUCUACAAAGAAAGGAAAGUUUGCAGUUGAGCUCAUUCGUUAUCUGUGAGCACCAGCAUGUGGUGGUAAUUUAAUAUCACUCGUUUACUCUGGUUGGUUCCUUGAGGAUGACAGCUUCUUCUAACGCAAAGCAAGGGUUUUUCUUACUAGCCAUGGUUCUUUUGUAAAACAUCAACAUAAAGCAUAGCUUGAACUAUGAUUUACUUCAAUAUCAGCCUUUGUAAGAUAGAGUUCUGAACUGGGUAAUGAUCUGAU
Molecule: unclassified non-coding RNA, 353 nt
Filed under: Hevea brasiliensis (rubber tree)
Lineage: Eukaryota; Viridiplantae; Streptophyta; Magnoliopsida; Malpighiales; Euphorbiaceae
Source: RNAcentral